UAAUACAUUUAGAAUUGAUUGAAGGAUCCUGCAUUGGCGGGAGCUUUAUGCUUCCCUUCGAGGGUCCGGGUCUUACGCAAUAGGACUCUACGAAUCUGGUCAGGGCAGGAAUGCAGCAGCCAUAAGAAGAAUCUCCUAUGUGCCGUGAGGGUGCCUGGGCCAAUCUUGGAGGAAUAAAGUUCCCGCGGGUGCAGGAUUUUAUUA
This 204-nucleotide signal recognition particle RNA is filed under the name Lacrimispora saccharolytica. RNAcentral describes it as "signal recognition particle sRNA large type". The stretch from base 64 to 163 matches the Rfam family "Bacterial small signal recognition particle RNA". The record is from RNAcentral. Lineage: Bacteria; Bacillati; Bacillota; Clostridia; Lachnospirales; Lachnospiraceae. RNAcentral also lists the same sequence under 1 other name.